GCCCCGGUAGCUCAGCUGGACAGAGCACCUCAUUCCUAACGAGGUGGUCGGAGGUUCGAAUCCUCUUCGGGGUA
RNAcentral lists this transfer RNA (74 nucleotides) under Rubripirellula lacrimiformis. It matches the Rfam family "tRNA". From Rfam's summary of the family: Transfer RNA (tRNA) molecules are approximately 80 nucleotides in length. Their secondary structure includes four short double-helical elements and three loops (D, anti-codon, and T loops). The record is from Rfam by way of RNAcentral. Lineage: Bacteria; Pseudomonadati; Planctomycetota; Planctomycetia; Pirellulales; Pirellulaceae.